GACGAACGCUGGCGGCGUGCUUAACACAUGCAAGUCGAACGGAAAGGCCGGGCGUUUGCGCGCUCCGGGACUGGCGAGCAGGGGAGUAUCACGUGAGUAACCUGCCCUUCACUUUGGGGGAUCUUCAUGAAACAGGAGCUCUUACCGCAUAGGAGCUCCUGCUGCAUGGUGGGCCUGGGUAAGAUUCGCCGGUUGGGGAUGGAAUCGCGGGUUAUCAGCUCGUUGGUGGGGUAGUGGGUUACCAAGGCUUGGAGGGGUAGCCGGCCUGAGAGGGUGACCGGCCACACUGGGACUGGGAUACGGCACAGACUCGUACGGGAGGCAGCGGUGGGGAAUAGUGCACAGUGGGCGGAAGCCUGAUGUAGCACCGCCGCGUGGGGGAUGACGGCCUUCGGGUUGUAAACCACUUUUGUCUGAGACGAAGCGAUAGUGACGGUACCGGGAGAAGAAGCACCGGCUAACUACGUG
Molecule: ribosomal RNA, 468 nt
Filed under: uncultured bacterium
Lineage: Bacteria
Description: partial 16S ribosomal RNA
Rfam family: Bacterial small subunit ribosomal RNA
Source: RNAcentral